This 57-nucleotide ribosomal RNA is filed under the name Agrilus viridis. Its description in RNAcentral is "partial 16S ribosomal RNA". Lineage: Eukaryota; Metazoa; Arthropoda; Insecta; Coleoptera; Buprestidae. The record is from RNAcentral.
CUAAUAUUCAAAAAAAAUCUAAUUUAACCAAAAUUUGGCCCUUUCGAACAAAAAUAU